Long non-coding RNA from Gadus morhua (Atlantic cod), 422 nucleotides. RefSeq lists it as uncharacterized. The transcript is spliced from 2 exons. Lineage: Eukaryota; Metazoa; Chordata; Actinopteri; Gadiformes; Gadidae. The record is from RefSeq and is a predicted model, not a curated record.
GAGGGGGGAAAAGAACCAGCUGAUCUGCUGUUUGCCAACUUGACUUUUAGUGAGCCCUUUUUUCUGCGUUGCUGCUGGACUUUGGACAGCCCGUUGUUGUUGCUCGUGCGUGUGUGUGUGUGUGUGUGUGUGUGUGUGUGUGUGUGUGUGUGUGUGUGUGUGUGUGUGUGUGUGUGUGUGUGUGUGUGUGUGUGUGUGUGUGUGUGUGUGUGUGUGUGUGUGUGUGUGUGUGUGUGUGUGUGUGUGUGUGUGUGUGUGUGUGUGUGUGUGUGUGUGUGUGUGUUCUAAAGGUUGGGACUUAAAUAUACUUUUUAAUCAAACGUACAUCUCUCCUGGUGCCCCGUUGGUCUGUGUGUGUGUGUGUGUGUGUGUGUGUGUGUGUGUGUGUGUGUGUGUGUGUGUGUGUGUGUGUGUGUGUGUGU